This 160-nucleotide ribosomal RNA is filed under the name uncultured bacterium. Its description in RNAcentral is "partial 16S rRNA". It matches the Rfam family "Bacterial small subunit ribosomal RNA", at positions 358 to 511 of the family's 1533-position model. The record is from RNAcentral.
GGAAUCUUCCACAAUGGGCGAAAGCCUGAUGGAGCAACGCCGCGUGUGUGAUGAAGGGUUUCGGCUCGUAAACACUGUUGUAAGAGAAGAAUGACAUUGAGAGUAACUGUUCAAUGUGUGACGGUAUCUUACCAGAAAGGAACGGCUAAAUACGCGCCAG